This 661-nucleotide ribosomal RNA is filed under the name uncultured bacterium. RNAcentral describes it as "bacterial SSU rRNA". It matches the Rfam family "Bacterial small subunit ribosomal RNA", at positions 94 to 788 of the family's 1533-position model. The record is from RNAcentral.
AGUGGCGAACGGGUGAGUAACGCGUGAGUAUCUGCCCUUAGGAGGGGGACAACAGUUGGAAACGACUGCUAAUACCCCAUAUGUCUACGGAUGAAAGAUUUUAUCGCCUGAGGAUGAACUCGCGUCUGAUUAGCUAGUUGGUGAGGUAAUGGCUCACCAAGGCGACGAUCAGUAGCUGGUCUGAGAGGAUGAUCAGCCACACUGGGACUGAGACACGGCCCAGACUCCUACGGGAGGCAGCAGUGGGGAAUUUUCCGCAAUGGGGGCAACCCUGACGGAGCAAUACCGCGUGCGGGAGGACGGCCUGUGGGUUGUAAACCGCUUUUCUCAGGGAAGAAGACCUGACGGUACCUGAGGAAUCAGCAUCGGCUAACUCCGUGCCAGCAGCCGCGGUAAUACGGAGGAUGCAAGCGUUAUCCGGAAUUAUUGGGCGUAAAGCGUCCGUAGGUGGUUAAUCAAGUCUGCUGUUAAAGAGCGGAGCUUAACUCCGUUUAAGCGGUGGAAACUGGUUGACUAGAGAGUGGUAGGGGUAGAGGGAAUUCCCAGUGUAGCGGUGAAAUGCGUAGAUAUUGGGAAGAACACCGGUGGCAAAAGCGCUCUACUGGGCCACAUCUGACACUGAUGGACGAAAGCUAGGGGAGCGAAAGGGAUUAGAUACCCC